AGUGAACGCUGGCGGUAGGCCUAACACAUGCAAGUCGAACGGCAGCACAGUAAGAGCUUGCUCUUACGGGUGGCGAGUGGCGGACGGGUGAGGAAUACAUCGGAAUCUACUUUUUCGUGGGGGAUAACGUAGGGAAACUUACGCUAAUACCGCAUACGACCUACGGGUGAAAGCAGGGGAUCUUCGGACCUUGCGCGAUUGAAUGAGCCGAUGUCGGAUUAGCUAGUUGGCGGGGUAAAGGCCCACCAAGGCGACGAUCCGUAGCUGGUCUGAGAGGAUGAUCAGCCACACUGGAACUGAGACACGGUCCAGACUCCUACGGGAGGCAGCAGUGGGGAAUAUUGGACAAUGGGCGCAAGCCUGAUCCAGCCAUACCGCGUGGGGGAAGAAGGCCUUCGGGUUGUAAAGCCCUUUUGGUGGGAAAGAAAAGCAGCAGGUUAAAACCCCGCUGUUCUGACGGUACCCAAAGAAUAAGCACCGGCUAACUUCGUG
RNAcentral lists this ribosomal RNA (492 nucleotides) under uncultured bacterium. Its description in RNAcentral is "partial 16S ribosomal RNA". It matches the Rfam family "Bacterial small subunit ribosomal RNA", at positions 29 to 507 of the family's 1533-position model. The record is from RNAcentral.